Molecule: ribosomal RNA, 429 nt
Filed under: Fusobacteriota bacterium
Lineage: Bacteria; Fusobacteriati; Fusobacteriota
Description: Fusobacteria bacterium partial 16S ribosomal RNA
Rfam family: Bacterial small subunit ribosomal RNA
Source: RNAcentral
UGGGGAAUCUUCCGCAAUGGACGAAAGUCUGACGGAGCAACGCCGCGUGAGUGAAGACGGCCUUCGGGUUGUAAAGCUCUGUUAUUCGGGAAGAACGAUUCGUUUGUGAACAAUGAACGGAAGUGACGGUACCGAAAGAGAAAGCCACGGCUAACUACGUGCCAGCAGCCGCGGUAAUACGUAGGUGGCAAGCGUUGUCCGGAAUUAUUGGGCGUAAAGAGCGCGUAGGCGGUUUGGUAAGUCUGUCUUAGAAGUGCGGGGCUUAACCCCGUGAGGGGACAGAGACUGUCAUACUGGAGUCUCGGAGAGGAAAGCGGAAUUCCUAGUGUAGCGGUGAAAUGCGUAGAGAUUAGGAAGAACACCGGUGGCGAAGGCGGCUUUCUGGACGAGCACUGACGCUGAGGCGCGAAAGCGUGGGGAGCGAACAGG